This 847-nucleotide long non-coding RNA is filed under the name Helianthus annuus (common sunflower). RNAcentral describes it as "hypothetical non coding rna". Lineage: Eukaryota; Viridiplantae; Streptophyta; Magnoliopsida; Asterales; Asteraceae. The record is from RNAcentral.
CACAUAAGUCAGUUCUCUCUCAACUCUCAUCAUCUUCUCUCUAUUAACUCUCUCUUUCCUAGUUCACCCCACCAUAAACCACCACAACCAACCCUAUCACCACCACAACCCACCUGCCACCACCAUCACCUACCCUCACCUGCCAUCACCAUCUUCCCCACUACUACCCACUUGCCGAUGCCACCACCCUGCUACAGCCCCGCCACAACCCGUGACCACCGCUGCAGCCCCGUCGGUCUUGUCCGGGUGCGGCGACGCUUACAAUUACUGUUGUAGAUCGGGGAUAUUUAGGCUCGAUUCUAAGUUUUAUCCCCAAUUUCAUCUUUUUAUCCCUAGUUUCAUCUUUGUCUUCUCCGUUUCCAGCAAUGAUUUUUCUCUCUCUACACUUGUGUUUCUCUCUCUACAAACGGGUUUCGCAUAAGAUCUUUCAAGUUGAAGAAGAUAGUAAAAAAAUCAAGAAUACAUUGUUGUUCUCUUUGAUGUUGUUGUUGUAGUUUGAUGUUGUUGUAAGGUAUUAUGAGUGAAAUUGAAAGAAAGGAUUUGUUUUGAAAAUAUGGAUUUGUCUUUUGAUGUUUCGAAUUGUUUAUUUUUUCUAUGUUUUGAAGAUUUGGGUUACGGAUGAUAAUGUGCAGAUUAUUAAUGCUAAUCUGGGAUGAUAAAGAAAUGAAGAAUAUAUUGUUGUUUUGUUUGAUGUUGUUGUUGUAGUUUGAUGUUGUUGUAAGGUAUUAUGAGUGAAACUGAAAGAAAGGAUUUGUCCUUGAAAAUGUGGAUUUGUCUUUUGAAGUUUAGAAUUAUUAAUGUGCAGAUUAUUGAUGAUAAUCUGGGUUUUGAAGAUCUGGGUUAUUGA